AUGAACGCUGGCGGCGUGCCUAAUACAUGCAAGUCGAGCGAACAGACGAGGAGCUUGCUCCUCUGACGUUAGCGGCGGACGGGUGAGUAACACGUGGAUAACCUACCUAUAAGACUGGGAUAACUUCGGGAAACCGGAGCUAAUACCGGAUAAUAUAUUGAACCGCAUGGUUCAAUAGUGAAAGACGGUUUUGCUGUCACUUAUAGAUGGAUCCGCGCCGCAUUAGCUAGUUGGUAAGGUAACGGCUUACCAAGGCAACGAUGCGUAGCCGACCUGAGAGGGUGAUCGGCCACACUGGAACUGAGACACGGUCCAGACUCCUACGGGAGGCAGCAGUAGGGAUCUUCCGCAAUGGGCGAAAGCCUGACGGAGCAACGCCGCGUGAGUGAUGAAGGUCUUCGGAUCGUAAAACUCUGUUAUUAGGGAAGAACAAAUGUGUAAGUAACUAUGCACGUCUUGACGGUACCUAAUCAGAAAGCCACGGCUAACUACGUG
This 495-nucleotide ribosomal RNA is filed under the name uncultured bacterium. Its description in RNAcentral is "partial 16S ribosomal RNA". It matches the Rfam family "Bacterial small subunit ribosomal RNA", at positions 29 to 507 of the family's 1533-position model. The record is from RNAcentral.